Molecule: long non-coding RNA, 1534 nt
Organism: Fundulus heteroclitus (mummichog)
Lineage: Eukaryota; Metazoa; Chordata; Actinopteri; Cyprinodontiformes; Fundulidae
Exons: 4
Source: RefSeq, a predicted model, not a curated record
CCUUAAGGAAGCGUAGUGGUCAAACAGGCUCAGCGGGGAAUGGCGCAAACCAAGCAAGCAAAUCUUGCGGCUGAGAAAAAACGAAUAAACAAAGCAGCGUGACAGAGCAAGCCGCUGGAAAUACACACACAAAAAAAAAAAAAAAAAAAAAAAAAAAAAACACGAAGACACCCUCUGUAACAAUGGCUUUCACCAGCUGCAAGACGGGGUUUGUCACUAUCAUUCCUGACAACAUUUUGAAAUGCUGUGCCGUCACAGAAACCGCUGCAUAAAGCACUGACAGAAGGCAUCAAAUGCACGUGUUCAGCACAGAGAUUGCUGAUUUACCCAACUCUAAUAGGUUGGUACAGGUGUCCAUUUUUUAAUAGUCCCACUUUCACUCUUUUUGCCCCAAAUGAUGGAUCUGCAUGAAGCCAUUCAGUGCAGGAACUCAGAUAUGAAGUUAUCUUCAUAUCUCUUGGGUGGAAGAAUGAGUCCCCUACAGUUUUCAAUCGCAUCUUCAUCCGUUGGAGGAAUGUUUGUGGUUUUCUCGGAUUAAACAGAAUGAACAAAUCCUCAUAUUUCCUCCAAUGAAGACAAGAUGACGAGAAAUAUAGCGAUCAACUCGAAUGGGUAAGUUCUCGUGUUUAAAAAUACCAUGUUUUACAUUUUUGAAUUCCGCUUCAACAGUGGCUGAGCUUGCUGUGAGGCUGCCUGGUGCUUUUGAAGAGGGGGAACCAUUACUCCUGUCCAAAUUGUCUCGUAGGUCAGUUUGGAUCUCGUCAAAAGGAUCCCCUUGACACACUUCCUUUGUGUCUUCAGCUGGAAUGAUGAUGGAGUCUUCUGUGACCUGGUGUUUUUAGGUAUUUUUUUACACCUUUUUGAUUGGUCCAAGCACUGUGACUGAAGCAGCUUUGCGAUUGCCCUGACAAAGGAGUCUUUGACACGGUGUGACUCGUUUUUAAGGCAGUCCCACUCGCAGAUCAUCUUUAUGCAGUGUGCCACAUCCAUCCUGAUAAAACAAGGAGGAAGUUUACAAGACUGGUUCCCAAGUACCACACGGAAGCAUUCGUUAAUGUACGUCUUCAGAUCAGGGGUCGCCAAAUUUGGAGGGUGACUUGGUCCAGGAUCUCCAAUAUCCAUCAAAUCUGAUGCCUCUGUGUCCACACUGCUCUCAGGAUCACUUUCCUGCUCAUUGAUCUCCAAACAUGACCAGAUGUUGUGUCUGUUUAACCUUACAAAAGUGUACAGGGCUUUUGGAGACAUCUUGUUUUCCAGCUGCUGACUUGACUCUGUCCAAAUAGUGGCAGCUGGAGUGGCUAUUUUGCCAUUUAGAACGAUGCACUCUUUUGAAGUGCAGAGAACUGCAAAAAGGGAAUCCCUGUCUACUGAUGGCUGUCGAGGCAUCUAGUUAAAGAACAAAAAGACUUUGAUUAGUGUUAAUCCAAAUUUUCUGGCCUAUAUAAUCUCUCAUGCCAUGAAUAAUUGACAUUAUAGAAUUCAGUUACAACUCAAAACUUCUAUUUAAAUUAGUCUUCUUACAUAAAUCUAUAUG